This 297-nucleotide long non-coding RNA is filed under the name Mytilus galloprovincialis (Mediterranean mussel). The record is from RNAcentral. Lineage: Eukaryota; Metazoa; Mollusca; Bivalvia; Mytilida; Mytilidae.
UUGGUACAACGUAAUUUUGUGAACUCCCAGGCACGUGCUGACAACUAUCCACACAACGUUGGCACAACGUAAUUUGUGACGUAAUUUAUUACCAUCAUAAGACGUUGUAACAACGUCACAGGACAACUGUAAAUGCCCCUUGUCUUCAUUUAAUUGAUAGGAUCAAUGCAACUCUAUUGAAAAAGUAUGUAAAACAGGGUCUUUAUUUUUUCUUUUGACCCGUUUUAAGUUGUAAAUUUUUCUAUGUGGGAAAGAUGGACACAAUGUCGAUAUGUACUCUAUUUCCAUACUGCCAGC